Molecule: ribosomal RNA, 467 nt
Filed under: uncultured bacterium
Lineage: Bacteria
Description: partial 16S ribosomal RNA
Rfam family: Bacterial small subunit ribosomal RNA
Source: RNAcentral
GAUGAACGCUGGCGGCGUGCUUAACACAUGCAAGUCGAACGGAAAGGCCGAAGCUUGCUUCGGUACUCGAGUGGCGAACGGGUGAGUAACACGUGGGUGAUCUGCCCUGUACUUCGGGAUAAGCUUGGGAAACUGGGUCUAAUACCGGAUAUGACAAUCUCUUGGAUGGGGUUGUGGAAAGCUUUUGCGGUAUGGGGUGAGCUCGCGGCCUAUCAGCUUGUUGGUGGGGUAAUGGCCUACCAAGGCGUCGACGGGUAGCCGGCCUGAGAGGGUGUACGGCCACAUUGGGACUGAGGUACGGCCCAGACUCCUACGGGAGGCAGCAGUGGGGAAUAUUGCACAAUGGGCGCAAGCCUGAUGAAGCGACGCCGCGUGGGGGAUGACGGCCUUAGGGUUGUAAACUCCUUUCGCAACCGACGAAGCUUUUUGUGACGGUAGGUUGAGAAGAAGCACCGGCUAACUACGUG